GACGAACGCUGGCGGCGUGCCUAAUACAUGCAAGUAGAACGCUGAAGAGAGGAGCUUGCUCUUCUUGGAUGAGUUGCGAACGGGUGAGUAACGCGUAGGUAACCUGCCUUGUAGCGGGGGAUAACUAUUGGAAACGAUAGCUAAUACCGCAUAACAAUGGAUGACACAUGUCAUUUAUUUGAAAGGGGCAAUUGCUCCACUACAAGAUGGACCUGCGUUGUAUUAGCUAGUAGGUGAGGUAACGGCUCACCUAGGCGACGAUACAUAGCCGACCUGAGAGGGUGAUCGGCCACACUGGGACUGAGACACGGCCCAGACUCCUACGGGAGGCAGCAGUAGGGAAUCUUCGGCAAUGGGGGCAACCCUGACCGAGCAACGCCGCGUGAGUGAAGAAGGUUUUCGGAUCGUAAAGCUCUGUUGUAAGUCAAGAACGAGUGUGAGAGUGGAAAGUUCACACUGUGACGGUAGCUUACCAGAAAGGGACGGCUA
RNAcentral lists this ribosomal RNA (489 nucleotides) under Streptococcus sp. oral taxon C65. Its description in RNAcentral is "bacterial SSU rRNA". It matches the Rfam family "Bacterial small subunit ribosomal RNA", at positions 28 to 499 of the family's 1533-position model. The record is from RNAcentral. RNAcentral also lists the same sequence under 1 other name. Lineage: Bacteria; Bacillati; Bacillota; Bacilli; Lactobacillales; Streptococcaceae.